CUAAAUGACUAACAGGCAAUUUUAUCGCCAUCAAAAAGAUUCGGCGGCAAAAGGUCACAUCCGAGUCCACAAUCCGGCUCGGCGGCAUCCUCAUUUUAGCGCCGUUGGUUGGCUGAGCUCGGACGACCGCUCGAUCGAUUGCUUUGGUCUGGCGUCGCCGAAUGGCCCGCCGGGACAGCGCCAAGCUCGACCAUUUGUGUUCCAAUUUUUGUCCGUCCGAACGCCACCCGUUUUUUUUUUUUUUGCUUGAGUUUCGACGUAACACAACCCGCCGAAAAGAGGACCGAAGCUUCCUCUUAUGCUACUAGCCGAGCCUAGCAUCACGAAACAACUUCCGUCCCGUCAAGACAGAAAUCGACAAAAUGGCGGCGCAUUCACACGCCAGAACUCUCCUUGGACCACGUUGGACUCUCCGAACGGGCGCCCGCCUUCGCGGCUCCGUCCGCACUUGCUCUUUCGGCGGAUGUCGCGAAAACCUGCCAGCGCCUUCCCGCCGUCAAUCAAAGCGAGCAGGACUUUCACGGUCGAGCAGAAGCCUCUUCAGUUGACGUGGCGCAUCGGUGUCGGGAGCUUCACGGGCGGCUUGCCGUCAAUCGCCCGCUGGUCUUUCGGGGCGUUGGCGCGCAAGGCAAAACCAACUGUGGCACAUUCCUGUGACGCAUCAGCGCCGGAGUAAAUCGGACCAUCAUGGCUUCAUUCACAUUGGAACAAAGCGCGGCCCAAUCAAGUCUGAAAAAUGAGUCACUCCAAGGCGUUUUCGCUGCAGAGUAAACCGUGCAGAAAGUGCCAUUCAUCAAGCGGCUCGGCGACCUGUUGUUUCUGCACACACAGAAAAAGAAGAGCCGGUUUGGAGCGCCGCUGUUGAUUUUUGGCCCGCACACAGCGAUUUCCACUUCAGGCCAAACUGCUCUCCCGGAUCAGAGAGGAAGCCAGUUCACCUUAACAAGGCGGCGCCAGCUCCUGUCUGCGUUCCGCACUUCUCAGCUCCGCCAUUGGCCGGGCCGCCAGCGGAGGAG
Hippocampus comes (tiger tail seahorse) is the source of this 1016-nucleotide long non-coding RNA. RefSeq lists it as uncharacterized. The transcript is spliced from 5 exons. NCBI's taxonomy places the organism in Eukaryota, Metazoa, Chordata, Actinopteri, Syngnathiformes, Syngnathidae. The record is from RefSeq and is a predicted model, not a curated record.